CUAUCCUACGGGGGGCAGCAGUCGAGAAUCAUUCACAAUGGGGGGAACCCUGAUCCAGCGACGCCGCGUGAGUGAAGAAGUAUUUCGGUAUGUAAAGCUCUGUCAGCAGGGAAGAAAGCAAUGACGGUACCUGACCAAGAAGCCCCGGCUAACUACGUGCCAGCAGCCGCGGUAAUACGUAGGGGGCAAGCGUUAUCCGGAAUUACUGGGUGUAAAGGGAGCGUAGACGGCUGUGCAAGUCUGGAGUGAAAGGCGGGGGCCCAACCCCCGGACUGCUCUGGAAACUGAAUGGCUGGUGUGCAGGG
RNAcentral lists this ribosomal RNA (305 nucleotides) under uncultured bacterium. Its description in RNAcentral is "partial 16S ribosomal RNA". It matches the Rfam family "Bacterial small subunit ribosomal RNA", at positions 334 to 653 of the family's 1533-position model. The record is from RNAcentral.